AUAGAAUUUAUAUGCUAUAAAUUGAUAAAGUCAUUUUUAUUUGUUUCGUGCAAAGGAAGAAAAAUAUGGUUAAAAUUAUCAUGUUUGUUUACGUGAAUUUUUUUCUUUCCCUAUUUCUUUUUGGAACGAACAUUAAUGCUAUCUCUGAAUGCGAAGAAGACGGAGAUUGUCCAAGAACUUGGUGUUUUGGGCAGUUUUUUGUUAAGUGUAUUACCAAUGAAUGUAUUUGUGUUCAUGAGGAUAGAUUACUUCCAUGGAUCCCCUAAGAUCCAUGGAUCCCUAUAAUAUAAAUGAUAAAUAUUAUCAAUUAAUGGUCACUUAUUGAUUAAUCACAUCAUUGUUAGACAUUAAAUGCUGCUAGAGAAUAAAUUGGGAUCUCAUGGAUUAGUAGGCAA
Medicago truncatula (barrel medic) is the source of this 395-nucleotide long non-coding RNA. RefSeq lists it as uncharacterized. The record is from RefSeq and is a predicted model, not a curated record. The transcript has 2 exons. Lineage: Eukaryota; Viridiplantae; Streptophyta; Magnoliopsida; Fabales; Fabaceae.